RNAcentral lists this ribosomal RNA (484 nucleotides) under uncultured bacterium. Its description in RNAcentral is "partial 16S ribosomal RNA". It matches the Rfam family "Bacterial small subunit ribosomal RNA", at positions 30 to 507 of the family's 1533-position model. The record is from RNAcentral.
AUUGAACGCUGGCGGCAGGCCUAACACAUGCAAGUCGAGCGGAUGAAGGGAGCGUGCUCCUGGAUUCAGCGGCGGGCGGGUGAGUAAUGCCUAGGAAUCUGCCUGGCAUAGGGGGAUGAGGUCAGUAAAGGGGAGCUAAUACCGCAUACGUCCAGAUGUUGAACGGGGUGGAUCUUCGGACAUCGCGCUAUCAGCUGAGACUAAGACGUGUUAGCUAGUUGGUGGGGUAAAGGCCUACCAAGGCGACGAUCCGUAGCUGGUCUGAGAGGAUGAUCAGUCACACUGGAACUGAGACACGGUCCAGACUCCUACGGGAGGCAGCAGUAGGGAAUCUUGCACAAUGGGCGAAAGCCUGACGCAGCCAUGCCGCGUGAGUGAUGAAGGUCUUCGGAUCGUAAAGUUCUUUAAGUUGGGAGGAAGGACUGUAAGUUUAUACCUGCCUGUUUUGACGUUACCUACACAAUAAGCCCCGGCUAACUUCGUG